Phyllostomus discolor (pale spear-nosed bat) is the source of this 352-nucleotide long non-coding RNA. RefSeq lists it as uncharacterized. NCBI's taxonomy places the organism in Eukaryota, Metazoa, Chordata, Mammalia, Chiroptera, Phyllostomidae. The transcript has 2 exons. The record is from RefSeq and is a predicted model, not a curated record.
UGGCAAUUGUCCUUUUGUCUCAAAGGUUCAGUGACAAAUAUACCCUCCACAAGCUGACCUUCAUCUAUGGGAGAGCAAAGCAAAAGUAGGAAUCCAAGUUCACCAACUCCAUUGCUAAGUUUCUAGCAAACAGCAGGAUGCCAGUUAUGGAUGGAUGCACAUGAGCAUAAAGUACCCAGGCUCUAUGCCAUUCUCACCACCACCCCGCCCCCAACUAAAACAGCCAGUUCUAAAAGCAGCCACCUUUCUGCUGGAUCAUUCUGAAUUACAGGGUAAGGGGGAAAGAAACAGAGAACUUUAAAUGGAUAGAGUAAGAAAUGUUAAAAAUGUCCAUUCUGGCCUGACAUUUUAG